UACGUAGGGUGCAAGCGUUAAUCGGAAUUACUGGGCGUAAAGCGUGCGCAGGCGGUGAUGUAAGACAGGUGUGAAAUCCCCGGGCUUAACCUGGGAACUGCAUUUGUGACUGCAUCGCUGGAGUGCGGCAGAGGGGGAUGGAAUUCCGGGUGUAGUGGUGAAAUGCGUAGAGAUCCGGAGGAACCCCAGAGGCGAAGGCGGCGCCCUGGCUCGACACUGACGCUCAGACACGACAGCAUGGGGAGCGAACGGG
Molecule: ribosomal RNA, 253 nt
Filed under: uncultured bacterium
Lineage: Bacteria
Description: partial 16S ribosomal RNA
Rfam family: Bacterial small subunit ribosomal RNA
Source: RNAcentral